CCUUCGGCCGGGGCCCGACCCGCUGGCCCGUCUCGUGACGCGCGCAUCACGUGUCCGCGCGGGGCGGGGCCAACGAGGCGUUGCCCCGCAACGGCGGCCGGAGCAGGGCCAAACCACGGCUAGAGCCCACAGGGAACUCAGCUGCUGUGAGAGAUGCUGCCCCACCCCUGCCAGCUGGAAAAGGGGUGCUUGGGAGAACGAGGUGUUGCCCAACCCUAGAGUCAAAAUAAAAGCCAGAGGCAGGUGUGGGCCACAUACUGUAGUCCAGCUGCAUGAGAGGCCAAAGCAGGAGGAUUGCUUGAGCACAAGAGUCCAAGACCAGCCCGCGCAGCAUAGCAAGACCCAUCCUCAGAAAACUACAAAUAAAGCCAAACCAUACCAUUCAAUUCGGUGUAAUUUUGUUGUUCAACAGGGAGCACCCAUUCAGACAGGUAAAUUAAUUGUUGGUAAAUUAGUUGUUUGGAUGAAUGUGACAUUUCUGUUCUGCCUAUUUACGGUUUGAUAAAAUAAACUGAGCAUAAAAUUUUUUCUUUUUUUUUUUUUUUUUUUUUUGGUUUUUCUCCGGUACCAGGAACCGAACUCAUGACCUUGCGCUUGCCAGGCAAGCGCUUUUGCCGCUGAGCUAAAUCCCCAGCCCCUGAGCAUAAAAUUUCGAGAGAGAUGCUGGUGGUUUUAGCUGCCACUUAGGUCCUUUCCAUUUCUACCCCAUGAACACACACAGGAGAUGUGUGCUCCCUCCCUUCCCUAGGGAAAGGAACCUGGACCUUAACCUCCUGGGUGGCGUCUGCACCUUCUGUCCUUUGUGGGCACCAGAGAGGAGGUGGCAGCUUACUCCUUUAGCCUUGGAUGUUUGGAGAAGCCACUUAUCGCUAAAGAAAAAAAAAAAACUUUAAAAGUUUCAUUUUGCCUUUUAGGAGAGGAGAGCACAGCACAGAAGACUUGCCUUUGGAUCUCCUUUACUGCAAUUAUGCAAUUAAGAUUAUGAUGAUGCAAUCAAUCCGGGAGAGUUGCUGCUCCCAGCCACAGCCCUUGAGUUCCUGCAAGCAGGCUGUGUUGUCUAGAAACCAGGAAGGAGAUGGGGGAGUUUGGGAGUUUGACAGAUAGAGCACUGGUCCUAAAUAGUUAAAAUAGACUAAAAGUCAGGCCUAAGUGCUUGAGUUAGCAUAUCAAAAUGGACUAUCAGGGCCUAAUAAAAUCCAAGAGAUAAAGAAUAGGCCCUUAAUCAAAGAAGAGACCUUAAAAGAAAUAAAAUGUAAAUAAAAGACCUUGCUUUCCAGACCUCAAAGACCUACCUGCAACCAAGAGCAUCCAUGCGUUCUGUCACAUACACCAGUCCCAAAAACUGCAUAAAAACCUAAUAGACCUCAACAUCUACAGUGGCCAUCUAUCAACCACCCCUCUCCAACUAGUGGAGAGCUUCUUUUUUAUUCUUUCUAAUAAACACA
RNAcentral lists this long non-coding RNA (1445 nucleotides) under Chinchilla lanigera (long-tailed chinchilla). Its description in RNAcentral is "lncRNA (ENSCLAG00000028985.1)". Lineage: Eukaryota; Metazoa; Chordata; Mammalia; Rodentia; Chinchillidae. The record is from RNAcentral.